Molecule: ribosomal RNA, 513 nt
Filed under: uncultured bacterium
Lineage: Bacteria
Description: partial 16S ribosomal RNA
Rfam family: Bacterial small subunit ribosomal RNA
Source: RNAcentral
GACGAACGCUGGCGGCGUGCUUAACACAUGCAAGUCGAACGAAAAGAGGGAAAGAGCUUGCUCUUUCCGGAAUUGAGUGGCAAACGGGUGAGUAACACGUAAACAACCUGCCCUCAGGAUGGGGACAACAGACGGAAACGACUGCUAAUACCGAAUAAGUUCCAAGGGCCGCAUGGCCCAUGGAAGAAAAGGUGGCCUCUACCUGUAAGCUAUCGCCUGAAGAGGGGUUUGCGUCUGAUUAGCUGGUUGGAGGGGUAACGGCCCACCAAGGCGACGAUCAGUAGCCGGUCUGAGAGGAUGAACGGCCACACUGGAACUGAGACACGGUCCAGACUCCUACGGGAGGCAGCAGUGGGGAAUCUUCCGCAAUGGGCGAAAGCCUGACGGAGCAACGCCGCGUGAGUGAUGACGGCCUUCGGGUUGUAAAACUCUGUGAUCCGGGACGAAAAGGCAGAGUGCGAAGAACAAACUGCAUUGACGGUACCGGAAAAGCAAGCCACGGCUAACUACGUG